This 61-nucleotide microRNA precursor is filed under the name Ornithorhynchus anatinus (platypus). RNAcentral describes it as "Oan-Mir-1363_pre stem-loop". Lineage: Eukaryota; Metazoa; Chordata; Mammalia; Monotremata; Ornithorhynchidae. The record is from RNAcentral.
GAGGGCCCCGGAACUCGAGCCGCAGCGAGAUCCGACCCGGUCGAGCCCCUGGGGCUGUCCG